GCAAAAGAUGCUUUAGCCGGCAGCUGAGCAAAACUAAGGAAAACCUGUACCAGCGCAAUGUGGCAUCAUACAGCGUUUACAACCAUUGGUCAUAUGCCCUUCUACCCUGCUGGGAAGUGAGUCUGGUGCCAAGAAAGAAUCCAGACACAUCUAGUUUGGAUCUUUAGAUUCGGUAGCUCACCUGCUAUAUGACUUGGAAUAAAUGACUUAAUUUACUUAAAACAAUGUAAAAAUAUGAAAUAAUAAAAAUCUGUCUGAUAA
Long non-coding RNA from Pipistrellus kuhlii (Kuhl's pipistrelle), 261 nucleotides. RefSeq lists it as uncharacterized. Lineage: Eukaryota; Metazoa; Chordata; Mammalia; Chiroptera; Vespertilionidae. The transcript is spliced from 2 exons. The record is from RefSeq and is a predicted model, not a curated record.